RNAcentral lists this ribosomal RNA (337 nucleotides) under uncultured bacterium. RNAcentral's name for it is "bacterial SSU rRNA". It matches the Rfam family "Bacterial small subunit ribosomal RNA", at positions 8 to 334 of the family's 1533-position model. The record is from RNAcentral.
AGAGUUUGAUUAUGGCUCAGGACGAACGCUGGCGGCGCGCCUAACACAUGCAAGUCGAACGGAGAUACCAGAGGAGCUUGCUCCACCGGUAUCUUAGUGGCGGACGGGUGAGUAACACGUGAGCAACCUGCCUUUCAGAGAGGGAUAACGUUUGGAAACGAACGCUAAUACCACAUAACAUCACGAUACGGCAUCGUAUUGUGAUCAAAGGAGCAAUCCGCUGAGAGAUGGGCUCGCGUCCGAUUAGAUAGUUGGUGGGGUAACGGCUCACCAAGUCGACGAUCGGUAGCCGGACUGAGAGGUUGAACGGCCACAUUGGGACUGAGACACGGCCCAG